Molecule: long non-coding RNA, 980 nt
Organism: Homo sapiens (human)
Lineage: Eukaryota; Metazoa; Chordata; Mammalia; Primates; Hominidae
Exons: 3
Source: RefSeq, a predicted model, not a curated record
GUUUUUGUCCCUCUCUUAAAGUGAAUGGUCACAGAGCCAUGAGCAGGUGGAAGAUGCAGGUGGAGGCAUCUUCCCUGUCACCGUUGGUAUGUCUGGUUGAAACCUGCAACAAGGAAUCAGUCUUCAUGCAACUCUCAGCAACCUCUACUGAGAUCUCUGUUGAAGCAUUGUUUGCAAGAGCAGAUAAUCAGAAACCACCCAAAAAAUCAUAAAGAAGACAUUGGGCAAAUCAACAAUGGUAUGCUGAGAUUUGGAUUGCCAAAUUGACCUUGAAGUGAAGGAGGCAGAUUUGCUUGUAAUAACAAUGAAAGCGAUACAAGAUCUUCUAUUUGAAGUGCAGAAUGUCCCAUUCACCAUGAGACGCUGGUAAAUAAUGUUUUCAUUUUGUGCAGCAUGCCUCCAGUUGUGUAAAGAAUGUAAAAGGGAAAUGUCUCAAAACAGAAGAAGACGCCUGUGGGCAGCACCUUCUGCAGAGUGAUCCUGGGAGCUGGAAAGAAGACUCACUUUUCAUUUUACAACCUUGGGCACUGUAAGGAUAUUUUGGGCUUGGUAUGUGUGUUUUGUUGUUGUUGUUUUUUGUUUGUUUUAUUAUACUUUAAGUUUUAGGGUACAUGUACACAACGUGCUGGUUAGUUACAUAUGUAUACAUGUGCCAUGUUGGUGUGCUGCACCCAUUAACUCAUCAUUUAACAUUAGGUAUAUCUCCUAAUGCUAUCCCUCCCCCUCCCCCCACCCCACAACAGGCCCCGGUGUGUGAUGUUCCCCUUCCUGUGUCCAUGUGUUCUCAUUGUUCAAUUCCCACCUAUGAGUGAGAACAUGCGGUGUUUGGUUUUUUGUCCUUGAGAUAGUUUGCUGAGAAUGAUGGUUUCCAGCUUCAUCCAUGUCCCUACAAAGGACAUGAACUCAUCAUUUUUUAUGGCUGCAUAGUAUUCCAUGGUGUAUGGUAUGUGUGUUUUAUAAAAAUAACUUAAUGAAACAUU